Gopherus flavomarginatus (Mexican gopher tortoise) is the source of this 1104-nucleotide long non-coding RNA. RefSeq lists it as uncharacterized. The transcript has 4 exons. NCBI's taxonomy places the organism in Eukaryota, Metazoa, Chordata, Testudines, Testudinidae. The record is from RefSeq and is a predicted model, not a curated record.
UUCUGGCGACGUCAUGAGAUUCAAGGCGGGGAGGCGGCCAUUUUUGGUAGGGGCGGAGAGGUGCCACACCGACCGUCAUCUUUGUGGUGGGCAUGCUUCCCUGCUUGGUGGCCAUCUUGGAUUGGGGCACGAAUCUGCUAGCUGCCAGCAGGACGGCCAUCUUGGACUGAAGAAAGCAGGUGUCUCAAGGCAUUGCAGGCGCGGAACCAGAGAGAGGACAGGUCUCCCUGCUCUCUCCCGAACUCAGCCUCCAGGGAGCUGCUGAGAUCCGCCCUCCAAAUGAUGGGAUUGCUGGUUAACCCUUGAGCCGACAGCAGUGCUACCAAGUGGAUGCCCUUCUGUUACUGUAACUUACUGAUCCACAGAGAAGGGACCACCUCCCAUUUCAAGACACUUUGUCUAAACUUUUCUAUCUGUGUUCACAUAGAUUCAGGAUCAGAAUAAGCCUUCCUUUGCAAAUGUGUCUGCUAGCGAUUGGCUGGCUCCAGGGAGACAGGGAGGAGGAGGAAGCAGAAGAGAAUUACAAGGUUUCGGAUUCCUGUAAACAGAGAAACAUUUUUCCAGUCAUCAGACUCCACGUCCAGUGGAAAUGGAGCUUCAAUUUCCCCUGGUUAACAUCGAGGAUGUGCUGUUGACAUACCCCCUUCUUCUCUAGCAAUUGCUGUAUGCUGUUUAGUCUGCUGCUGAUUCAGAAACUUUGUCUCUGGGCAGUCAUUGCUGUGGUUUCCUUCUCUUUUAUUUUCCAAGUGUGCCUGGCUUCCAGCCCAGGAGCAGGUGUCUAAGCUCUGGGGGAGAGGCAUAACAGCACUGACUCUCUCUCUCCAAACCCUGGAUCCGAACUCUGCCAAACUUGAUAAAAUUCAGAUGUGAACUUAAGAAUUCAGGCUAAAUUCUGAUAAAUUUCCCUGCCCCGUCCUGAGAUACAUAUCUGUGUUUUCUUGUACGCCAUCUGAUUGUCUGUAUGCACCUGUUGUCUCUGGCCUUAUACUUUUGUAAGCUCUCUUGAGCAGGGUUCUGUGUUUGUACAGCACCCAGCACCAAGAGGCAGGAGCGGUACAAGGUCCCUAAAAGUGUGGGAGAGUGCCACCGGCGCCUGAACCGUGC